Molecule: ribosomal RNA, 253 nt
Filed under: uncultured bacterium
Lineage: Bacteria
Description: partial 16S ribosomal RNA
Rfam family: Bacterial small subunit ribosomal RNA
Source: RNAcentral
GACGGAGGAUGCAAGCGUUAUCCGGAAUGAUUGGGCGUAAAGCUUCCGCAGGUGGCAGUUCAAGUCUGCUCUCAAAGACCGGGGCUUAACUUCGGAAAGGCAGUGGAAACUGAACAGCUAGAGUAUGGUAGGGGCAGAGGGAAUUCCUGGUGUAGCGGUGAAAUGCGUAGAGAUCAGGAAGAACAUCGGUGGCGAAGGCGCUCUGCUGGACCAUAACUGACACUCAGGGACGAAAGCUAGGGGAGCGAAUGGG